AUUGAACGCUGGCGGCAGGCCUAACACAUGCAAGUCGAGCGGAUGAAGGGAGCUUGCUCCUGGAUUCAGCGGCGAACGGGUGAGUAAUGCCUAGGAAUCUGCCUGGUAGUGGGGGAUAACGUCCGGAAACGGGCGCUAAUACCGCAUACGUCCUGAGGGAGAAAGUGGGGGUUCUUCGGACCUCACGCUAUCAGAUGAGCCUAGGUCGGAUUAGCUAGUUGGUGGGGUAAAGGCCUACCAAGGCGACGAUCCGUAACUGGUCUGAGAGGAUGAUCAGUCACACUGGAACUGGGACACGGUCCAGACUCCUACGGGAGGCAGCAGUGGGGAAUAUUGGACAAUGGGCGAAAGCCUGAUCCAGCCAUGCCGCGUGUGUGAAGAAGGUCUUCGGAUUGUAAAGCACUUUAAGUUGGGAGGAAGGGCAGUAAGUUAAUACCUUGCUGUUUUGACGUUACCAACAGAAUAAGCACCGGCUAACUUCGUG
This 484-nucleotide ribosomal RNA is filed under the name uncultured bacterium. RNAcentral describes it as "partial 16S ribosomal RNA". It matches the Rfam family "Bacterial small subunit ribosomal RNA", at positions 30 to 507 of the family's 1533-position model. The record is from RNAcentral.